GGGGACGAAUCUGGCUUCGACGGGAAUCAUGGUGGUAGUGGACGCAUGCCGAGGACCCCGGUUUCCUCGUUAAUCAUCCGGGAAAACAAGUAAAUGCAGACGAUUAUUCGUAUGCACUGGCUGCCUAAUUAAAGGCGGCCUCGUUCACCGCGGUUUGUGCCUGCAGGGGCUGCGGAUGAACGUCGAUCUCUGCGGGCUAGCCUUCCGGCAUGCUCUGGGCCAGGAGGCGAAACCUUACAGGGCUGGAUCGCUUCGGCCUGGUCCGUUGCGCCUGAAGCGAUCGAGAUUCAGCAGCGGAACAAGCAUGUAGUGGCUGCUAUGGCCGGGUUUUCGGACGUGGGUUCGACUCCCACCGUCUCCACCA
This 364-nucleotide transfer-messenger RNA is filed under the name bacterium ADurb.Bin431. RNAcentral describes it as "transfer-messenger RNA, SsrA". It matches the Rfam family "transfer-messenger RNA". Rfam says of the family: Bacterial tmRNA, also known as 10Sa RNA or SsrA, is named for its dual tRNA and mRNA-like properties. The record is from RNAcentral. RNAcentral also lists the same sequence under 1 other name.